This 507-nucleotide ribosomal RNA is filed under the name uncultured bacterium. RNAcentral describes it as "partial 16S ribosomal RNA". It matches the Rfam family "Bacterial small subunit ribosomal RNA", at positions 28 to 507 of the family's 1533-position model. The record is from RNAcentral.
GACGAACGCUGGCGGCGUGCCUAAUACAUGCAAGUCGAACGCAUUUUCUUUCACCGUAGCUUGCUACACCGAAAGAAAAUGAGUGGCGAACGGGUGAGUAACACGUGGGUAACCUGCCCAUCAGCGGGGGAUAACACUUGGAAACAGGUGCUAAUACCGCAUAAUUCCAUUUACCGCAUGGUAGAUGGAUGAAAGGCGCUUUUGCGUCACUGAUGGAUGGACCCGCGGUGCAUUAGCUAGUUGGUGGGGUAACGGCCUACCAAGGCUGCGAUGCAUAGCCGACCUGAGAGGGUGAUCGGCCGCACUGGGACUGAGACACGGCCCAGACUCCUACGGGAGGCAGCAGUAGGGAAUCUUCGGCAAUGGACACAAGUCUGACCGAGCAACGCCGCGUGAGUGAAGAAGGUUUUCGGAUCGUAAAACUCUGUUGUUAGAGAAGAACAAGGAUGAGAGUGGAAAGUUCAUCCCUUGACGGUAUCUAACCAGAAAGCCACGGCUAACUACGUG